Molecule: transfer RNA, 72 nt
Filed under: Loxodonta africana (African savanna elephant)
Lineage: Eukaryota; Metazoa; Chordata; Mammalia; Proboscidea; Elephantidae
Rfam family: tRNA
About the family: Transfer RNA (tRNA) molecules are approximately 80 nucleotides in length.
Source: Rfam by way of RNAcentral
GCCCUUGUGGUGCAACGGUUAAGCACUUGGCUGCUAACCAAAAGGUUGGUGAUUCGAACCCACCCAGUAGCU